This is a non-coding RNA of Leptonychotes weddellii (Weddell seal), 380 nucleotides long. The record is from RefSeq and is a predicted model, not a curated record. Lineage: Eukaryota; Metazoa; Chordata; Mammalia; Carnivora; Phocidae.
GGAUCCCCUAACAACAGUGAGAGAGCAAUGCGAACAGCUGGAGAAAUGUGUAAAGGCUCGGGAGCGGCUAGAGCUCUGUGACCAGCGUGUAUCCUCCAGGUCACAGACAGAGGAGGAUUGUACUGAGGAGCUCUUUGACUUCCUGCAUGCAAGGGACCACUGCGUGGCCCACAAACUCUUUAACAGCUUGAAAUAAAUGUGCAUACUUCACCCCCGCCUUCAUCACCCGGGCAUCAGGAUAUUUCAUGGUUUCGACCAUGCCAUUUGUUUCUUAUCUGUGUAACUGUACGUUCAUGUGAACCUCAUGGAUCUUGGCUUAGGCAAGUAACUUCUAUGUAAUUAGCAGUGAUUCCUCUUAAUAAAGUCCAGUGAUCUGCAGA